GACGAACGCUGGCGGCGUGCCUAAUACAUGCAAGUAGAACGCUGAAGAGAGGAGCUUGCUCUUCUUGGAUGAGUUGCGAACGGGUGAGUAACGCGUAGGUAACCUGCCUUGUAGCGGGGGAUAACUAUUGGAAACGAUAGCUAAUACCGCAUAACAAUGGAUGACACAUGUCAUUUAUUUGAAAGGGGCAGUUGCUCCACUACAAGAUGGACCUGCGUUGUAUUAGCUAGUAGGUGAGGUAAUGGCUCACCUAGGCGACGAUACAUAGCCGACCUGAGAGGGUGAUCGGCCACACUGGGACUGAGACACGGCCCAGACUCCUACGGGAGGCAGCAGUAGGGAAUCUUCGGCAAUGGGGGCAACCCUGACCGAGCAACGCCGCGUGAGUGAAGAAGGUUUUCGGAUCGUAAAGCUCUGUUGUAAGUCAAGAACGGGUGUGAGAGUGGAAAGUUCACACUGUGACGGUAGCUUACCAGAAAGGGACGGCUAACUACGUG
This 497-nucleotide ribosomal RNA is filed under the name uncultured bacterium. RNAcentral's name for it is "partial 16S ribosomal RNA". It matches the Rfam family "Bacterial small subunit ribosomal RNA", at positions 28 to 507 of the family's 1533-position model. The record is from RNAcentral.